Molecule: long non-coding RNA, 2920 nt
Filed under: Sus scrofa (pig)
Lineage: Eukaryota; Metazoa; Chordata; Mammalia; Artiodactyla; Suidae
Description: lncRNA (ENSSSCG00065047987.1)
Source: RNAcentral
GACUUUUCUGGAGGCCGCGGGUGAGGAGCACAGCUGAUAUGCCCUUUUUUCUGGUUUGUUGUUAUUUACCUAGCAUUGUAAACUAAGGAGGAAAAGUAACAAAGAGCUUGAAGACUUUCAUGGAGCCCAGGCCCUGGACGGAGGCAGGCGACAUCAGAGAACCAAGAAAGCUGAGGGGCAGCCAGGAGGCACCUGUGGCUGCAGAGCCCAGAGUAUCGUUACAUUUCUUUAUUUGUGUGCAAGAGUCGAUGUGAUAACUUUCUGUGACAUGUUCUGUUAUUUUUUUAGUUGUGUUGAUGUUCCUUUCAGCCAAUCCUAUAGUCCCCCCAUCUCAGGAAUGUCUCCCCAGUGACAGGACACAGACUGCAGAGACCGCUGUACUGGUGGACGCUCAAGCCAACUGUGAAGUUGAAACAAAGGAAUCAGGACUCGGUCACCUGAAGACACCUCUUCUGCUAAGCGACACACCCACAUGAUGCAGUUCAGCCAGUAGACUCUCAGAACAAGAGGCAAUCUUUGCAAGAAACAGGAACACUUGAGAAUGACUUCUAGAUUUCUGACUUCCCUUCCUCGUGUGUAUUCCUCUGUUUGUAUUUCAAUUCUGUGUGACAUUCAUCUUUAAAAAAGUGUUUUCUGAUAUGAAUAUGCUUAUCAACACACCCAAUUUUUAAAAUAGAAAAUUUCACACACAUGCUAAUGUUUUAAGGAACAAAAUUCAUGCUAUGAAUUUUAGCCACAUACAAGGUUUGACCUUAAGAGUGACUUAAACAAUAGGAUAUAAAGUUAUUUUGAAACAGCGGAGUCGUCGGAGGUAACUCAAAGGAUAGAAUAACGGUGGUAACUCAGAAUGCAGCGUGGAAAGGCAUUACCCUGUGACACCACCAAUCUACCAUGCUUUCUGUCAGGCAAGCUAGGUUCUGCCUCUGCAGAGUUUAAGUUUAGUUAGGCAGAGGUAUGUACGCUUUUGACAAGAUAAGUAACAAAUCAAGUCAAUAGACAAUAACAGUAAAACCAAAGCAAGACAAAAGAUGUAUGAACAAGGAGCUCAGAGGUGGUCACGUUAAACUGGGCAAACUGGUCCGUUUAGGGAAGAAAGUUCGCAAAGGAGGAGGAAAUGAAUCUUAAAAGAUGUUAAAGAUUUCGAUAAAUGGAAAAGAAGGAGAAAAUCGAGUCCUUUAGAUGGAUGUGGUGUUGUGAGCAAAGUCCGGGAAGACUACAUGUAAUUUUAGGGAAUUAUGAUCACACAUGUCUAGUUGCCUUCACCCCAGACUUUCAGUGCCAGUGUGUGUGUAUGUACAUACGUGGUAAAGACUUCAUGGACACAUUGUCCCUCUCCCGCUUCAGAUGUCGCCUAGAAUCAUAAUUGUAUUUCUUCCAUUAAAGCACGUGAGAGUGGCGAUAACAGGAGGAUUUGUGAUUUUUCUCUUGGCCUGAUAACAAUGGAUGUUUAUUGAGUUCUCACUACAUUUUGAGUAUUUUAUACAUUAACUCUCUGAAGCCUCACAACAAUCCUGCAAAAUUUAUCCCCAUUUUACACUAAGAAAACUGAGGUUUAAUGAGGUUAAGUAACUUGCCAAACCACCACAUCCAGGUGUCACAAUCAGAUUUGCCAUCGCAAAGCUCAUGAUCUAAAGCACUAAGUCAAAAUACUACGACCAACAUCACAAUAUGACCACUUCUCUAGUCCUUGAGAUUUUUCUGUGGUAAAUGGUAACAAUUAUCUUCUCAAAUUUUUCAGUUUUCUGGUUAAAUUACACUAAAGUGAUGGAACGUAUUUUUAUCAUGACAGAAAUUGGAGGGGAAAUGGGGUUUAUCAGCAUUUUAGGCUGCUUUGGUGGGUGUCCAGCCUUUGAUGGGACUAUUCAUUUUGGUGAGCAUGAACUCUCCACUUCUUGAGAAUGAAAAUAGAAAGUGAGGGGAGCCUAAAGGUCAUCUAUACAAUGUCCUUUUCUACAGGUGUUGUCAAUCCAUGAAGUUAGAGUGACUUACAGAAGAUCCCACAUUUGCGUGUAGCAAAGCAAGGUCCAGAAACCAUGCCCUCAGCGGCUCUUAAAUAAACAACUGCAUCCUGCCUAAAAGAAAUGUGAGCUUGAAUUUGAUCAAUGACAACAUUCCAUCUGGGUGAUCAGGGGCGGCAUGGAACCUAGUAGACUGCUCAGUUUUGCGCCUCUCUGGCUUCUCACCUCAGCGUGAAAAAUAGCUAUAGCUCUGGGCUGACAUCUUUAGAUGCAGGAAUUGUCAGUGGUCCAUCCACACAGAACAUACAAUGGCCCAAGUUAUGUGUACAGUGUCUUCAAUGAUUUGGAAUUCUCAGUUCACCUAAACAGAUCUUCUCAUGAGCAUUUCCUGAACCAAUUUUAUGCACAGUAUAUAUUAGAGCUUCCACAUCAAGAUUUAAACACGACUGUUUCGCUAGUUCUUAUGUUUUUGACGGUAUCAGUGGUUCUUUGCUAUUUUAACCUUCACUUAUCCAGGUGACUAACUCAAGAAUACUUCAGCAAUAAAAAGCUGGAAUUGAGGAAACCUUAUUCUUUACCAGCCCCUUCGCCUUCAGUUGGCAUUCAGUCAUGCCAAAUAGAGGGGUCAGCUGGAGAACUCAAAUUUGAAAUGCAAUUUUGUCUGAAGUCCGUUAAGCUGUGUUUACUUAAGGGCAAGCUUCUAGAUGUUUGAAAGUACCUGAAUAUUUAACUGUUGUAAAUUUCCAGUUAGAUAUCUGGCAUUGUUGCACUUGGACCUGCUGGUGGCUCAGGUCAUCCUAUUUUCAAAAUGAUCAUUGGCCAUGUGUCACACAAUUCUCAUUAAGUGAGUUCAUAGAGUUUUUUAAGUCGAGCCAAGCACAAAAUGUGACUUUGUUGACAUUUUAUGAGACUUUGUCAUAUGUCCCCUGAACCCCCCAAUAAAAGCACUGUUGCAUCAACUG